Long non-coding RNA from Brassica napus (rape), 791 nucleotides. RefSeq lists it as uncharacterized. NCBI's taxonomy places the organism in Eukaryota, Viridiplantae, Streptophyta, Magnoliopsida, Brassicales, Brassicaceae. The record is from RefSeq and is a predicted model, not a curated record. The transcript is spliced from 3 exons.
AAGCAUAACUAAUUUCCAAAAAAAAAAGAGGUUAAUUUUGUGUUUGACUGUAUGUAAAUUUUGAAAAAAGCCCUUUAUUGAUUGGGGAAAGUAAUGCUAAUACAUUUAAGCAAAAACUUUAUCCGCCAUUAAAUUGCGUAGCUAGCAUUAACUCUGCGAAUAUUGCUUGAAAUUUUAUGGAAUAAGCGAUAAUCAUGGUUUGAUCUGAUUAUUUAAUUUUCUUUUAUUUGGAAAGUCAAAUAGUGAAUCUUCUAAAAAUGGAAAUUAUGAUUGAAUCGUUGAAAAAUUUAAAGUCAAAGUUCUUGUUUUGAAAACAUAAUUACAAAUUAUUAAUAACAAAAAUGGAAGAUUUAUUUAUAUAUAACUAUAUAUAUAUGUAAUUAAGACCAUAAACUCUGUUCAUAAGAAGCUUAAAGUUAUAUUUUCAAAACGAAAGGAAAUCAAGACAAAAAGUUGCUACAACCUAUAAUGACGACCAAGAAAAUGUCAUCCCUUUUAUUAUUUUCGCUGAUGGUCUUUAUCCUCGUAUCUCUACCUAUAAUUUCAGGGGAUGAAUGUACACCGAAGGGGCCAUGUGAAGACACCAAGAAAUGCAAUAUCUAUUGUUUAUUGCUGGGUUUCAAAUAUGGGGGAUUUUGUGAUACAUAUGGGACUACGUUUUGUUGUUGCAUAACAUCUAAAACUCCUCCUAUAUCCAGUCUUCCUGAACACUAAUUAUUUUUAAUCAAUAUGUACCCAAAAUAUACAUUCAAAUAUGAUACUCGUAUUUAUAUUACAUCGCUUAAAAUUUA